RNAcentral lists this microRNA precursor (157 nucleotides) under Pelobates cultripes (western spadefoot toad). The record is from RNAcentral. Lineage: Eukaryota; Metazoa; Chordata; Amphibia; Anura; Pelobatidae.
GCAGACACAUUCCAGCCAAUCAGCAGCAGACCCUCCCUCCCAUACCCUCCCACCUCCUGGACAGCUCACUAAGAAUGCAGCUUCACAAUGGAUGCUGUCCAGGAGGUGGGAGGGUCUGGGAGGGAGGGUCUGCUGCUGAUUGGCUGGAAUGUGUCUG